UUUCCGUAGGUGAACCUGCGGAAGGAUCAUUAUUGUAUAAAAGAGACACCAGGACUCUCGUUGACCCGACUGGUGUUGCACGCCCGAGAGCGCUCACACACAUCCAUCGCACCCCUAUGUCCACCAGCGCGCUGGCCGCGCUUAGGCUUGCUCGGAGGGGGUCUUACGCUCUCACACAAACUUAGAAUGCAGUGUAGAAUGUAUUUAUUGUUUUUGCGAUCACGCAAACAAUACAACUACCAACAACAGAUCUCUUGGCUCCCGCAUCGAAGCAGACCC
Molecule: unclassified non-coding RNA, 279 nt
Filed under: plant metagenome
Description: partial contains small subunit ribosomal RNA, internal transcribed spacer 1, and 5.8S ribosomal RNA
Source: RNAcentral